CUCCUUUUUAAAAAUAAAAGGUAGGCUCUGCUCCAUGAAAAAAUUAAAUAGCCGCAGUAUCCUGACUGUGCUAAGGUAGCAUAAUAAUUUGUUUUAUAAUAGAAAACUUGAAUGAAAGAGCUGACGGUGCUGCCCCUUUCUCUGAAAAUAAAAUUGAAAUUAACCUUUGCAUAAAAAGGUGCAGAUACCUAAAGGGACGAUAAGACCCUGUAAAGCUUACACUUAAAUAAAGAUUAUAGACCUUUGUAUUUCUUACGUGAGUUCAGCUGGGGCGGCUUCUAUUUCUCCUUAGAAUAUUUAACAAAAAUGUUUGAAAAUAAAGAUCUUAUUACAGAUAUAGAACAAGCUACUUCAGGGAUAACAGCAUAAUUUUUUUUUAUAGUUCCCAUAGAUAAAAAAGACUUAUGACCUCGAUGUUGAAUUGAGAAAUUCUUUUUAAGCAGAAAUAAAAAUGAUAGGUCUGUUCGACCUUUAAAUUCUC
RNAcentral lists this ribosomal RNA (481 nucleotides) under Eurycope sp. 5 SB-2021a. Its description in RNAcentral is "partial 16S ribosomal RNA". It matches the Rfam family "Archaeal large subunit ribosomal RNA", at positions 1908 to 2666 of the family's 2987-position model. Lineage: Eukaryota; Metazoa; Arthropoda; Malacostraca; Isopoda; Munnopsidae. The record is from RNAcentral.